This 500-nucleotide ribosomal RNA is filed under the name uncultured bacterium. Its description in RNAcentral is "partial 16S ribosomal RNA". It matches the Rfam family "Bacterial small subunit ribosomal RNA", at positions 29 to 523 of the family's 1533-position model. The record is from RNAcentral.
AUUGAACGCUGGCGGAAUGCUUUACACAUGCAAGUCGAACGGCAGCACGGGGGCAACCCUGGUGGCGAGUGGCGAACGGGUGAGUAAUACAUCGGAACGUGCCCAGUCGUGGGGGAUAACGUAGCGAAAGGUACGCUAAUACCGCAUACGAUCUACGGAUGAAAGCGGGGGACCGUAAGGCAUCGCGCGAUUGGAGCGGCCGAUGUCAGAUUAGGUAGUUGGUGAGGUAAAGGCUCACCAAGCCGACGAUCUGUAGCGGGUCUGAGAGGACGGCCAGCCAGAAUGGGACUGAGACACCGCCCAGACACCUAGGGGAGGCAACAGUGGGGAAUUUUGGACAAGGGGCGGAAGCGGGAUCCAGUCAUUCCGGGUGGAGGACGAGGGCCUUCGGGUUGUAAACUGCUUUGGUACGGAACGAAAAGGAUCUGGUUAAUACCUGGGGCUCAUGACGGUACCGUAAGAAUAAGCACCGGCUAACUACGUGCCAGCCGCCGCCGCCG